RNAcentral lists this non-coding RNA (88 nucleotides) under bovine gut metagenome. The record is from RNAcentral.
GCCGAUAGGGGAGCCUUCGUGCUGAGAGGUGGCCUAGCCACGACCCUAUGACCUGAACUAGAUAAUGCUAGCGGAGGGAAUCGGGACA